GGAUGAACGCUAGCUACAGGCUUAACACAUGCAAGUCGAGGGGAAACGACAUCGAAAGCUUGCUUUUGAUGGGCGUCGACCGGCGCACGGGUGAGUAACGCGUAUCCAACCUGCCCAUCACUUGGGGAUAACCUUGCGAAAGUAAGACUAAUACCCAAUGAUAUCUCUAGAAGACAUCUGAAAGAGAUUAAAGAUUUAUCGGUGAUGGAUGGGGAUGCGUCUGAUUAGCUUGUUGGCGGGGUAACGGCCCACCAAGGCAACGAUCAGUAGGGGUUCUGAGAGGAAGGUCCCCCACAUUGGAACUGAGACCCGGUCCAAACUCCUACGGGAGGCAGCAGUGAGGAAUAUUGAUCAAUGGGCGAGAGCCUGAACCAGCCAAGUAGCGUGCAGGAAGACGGCCCUAUGGGUUGUAAACUGCUUUUAUAAGGGAAUAAAGUGAGAGUCGUGACUCUUUUUGUAUGUACCUUAUGAAUAAGGACCGGCUAAUUCCGUG
RNAcentral lists this ribosomal RNA (493 nucleotides) under uncultured bacterium. RNAcentral describes it as "partial 16S ribosomal RNA". It matches the Rfam family "Bacterial small subunit ribosomal RNA", at positions 27 to 507 of the family's 1533-position model. The record is from RNAcentral.